This is a non-coding RNA of Schistosoma rodhaini, 48 nucleotides long. The record is from Rfam. NCBI's taxonomy places the organism in Eukaryota, Metazoa, Platyhelminthes, Trematoda, Strigeidida, Schistosomatidae.
AUCCAGCUGACGAGUCCUACAUAGGACGAAAGGCGCCUUGUCUUGGAU